Molecule: long non-coding RNA, 1106 nt
Organism: Odocoileus virginianus texanus
Lineage: Eukaryota; Metazoa; Chordata; Mammalia; Artiodactyla; Cervidae
Source: RefSeq, a predicted model, not a curated record
UGUAUGUAUGUAUAUAUAUAUAUAUUUUUUUUUUCCAUUUCAAUUUAGGAUUUACUUUCUCAUAUGCUACAUAUGGACCCACAGCAGCGGUACACUACAGAGCAAGUAUUGAAACACUCGUGGAUAACCCACAGAGAUCAGUUGCCAGAUGAUCAGCCAAAUAGAAAUAGGACAUCACAUGUUGUUAAGGGAACAGUGGUCGCCACAUAUUCUGCCCUGACUCACAAGACUUUUCAACCAGUCCUAGAGCCUGUUGCUGCUUCAAGCUUAGCUCAGCGACGAAGCAUGAAAAAGCGAACAUCAACUGGCCUUUGAAAGUUUUAGAGUUCCUCAGCCAAACUGGAUGAAGAAAAGAUUGUGUGGCUCUUUGUCUAAUAGUAUAUCAAAGGCAUUGUUUUCUACUACAUUACUUGAAUAUUCUGAUUAAGCUUCCUUUUUUUAAGGGGGAGUGAGAUUUAAAAAAAAACAUAUGUAGGUCCACAAUUUUCAUACCAUGUUGCUUUUCAGUGUUGUCCAAGUAUUUAUUUAAGUAUAUAAUUUGUGUCUACAAAGCCCUACCAACUUCUCUACAUACUAACUUCUAAAGUUUCUUUCAGAUUUCUGGUUAUGUAAAAUAAUGUUUUGGGGAAUCAUUACCAAGAGUCAAGAUGCAAGUAUAAUAGUAUAAUGCCAAACAAUGUCAGUAUUUUUUAACAUUAGAUCCUGAAAGGUUAGACGUCUAUUUUUUUUUUUAAGGAAAGCAAAAAAGAAAUCGUAGAAGCCUGUCAUUAUGUGUAAACUCCAUUCAUUUGACUCUCUGUAGUUACUAAAAUGUAAACAUAGUAGUUUUGGGCCAGAGCAAAAAUCAUUUGUGCUCCUAUGUGAAAUCCUAAUAUGGUUGAUGCCAAAGUUUUUACAGAAGAAUUAAAUCAUAGAUAAUGUGUGCUGACAGACCUGUAUAUUGUCCAUAAAUGGCCUCAUCUAGAAAUAAAGGCUUCUGUAAAUUUUACAUCGAAUGGAAUUGUAGUACAAGUGAAGAAAUUUUAGCCAAAGGUAUUAUAUUGGUAUUAUAAUCUACUAAAUAGGUCAUAGUUAAACCUUUGAAAAUAAAGUAUAUGGUGUUGGCA